RNAcentral lists this ribosomal RNA (2265 nucleotides) under Lactobacillus xujianguonis. RNAcentral describes it as "Lactobacillus sp. HT111-2 partial 23S ribosomal RNA". It matches the Rfam family "Bacterial large subunit ribosomal RNA", at positions 1 to 2282 of the family's 2925-position model. Lineage: Bacteria; Bacillati; Bacillota; Bacilli; Lactobacillales; Lactobacillaceae. The record is from RNAcentral.
GUAAGGUCAAGUAGAAAAGGGCGCACGGUGAAUGCCUAGGCACUAGCAGCCGAAGAAGGACGUGACGAACUACGAAAAGCUUCGGGGAGCGGUAAGUACGCAGUGAUCCGGAGAUAUCCGAAUGGGGGAACCCGGUGCAGGAGAUGCAUCAUUAAAUACUGUUAAGGUAUUUAAAGGAAGACGCAGUGAACUGAAACAUCUAAGUAGCUGCAGGAAGAGAAAGAAAAAUCGAUUUCCUUAGUAGCGGCGAGCGAAGAGGAAAGAGCCUAAACCAGAUGAUUUAUCAUUUGGGGUUGUAGGACUGCAAUAAGGUAUUGCGAAAGAUAGUUGAAAUGUCUGGGAAGACAUGCCAGAGAGGGUGAGAGCCCCGUAAGCGAAAUCGGAAGCAAGCCGAGCAGGAUCCUGAGUAGGGCGGGACACGAGGAAUCCCGUUUGAAUCCGCGAGGACCAUCUCGCAAGGCUAAAUACUAGCUAGUGACCGAUAGUGAACCAGUACCGUGAGGGAAAGGUGAAAAGAACCCCGGAAGGGGAGUGAAAGAGAACCUGAAACCGUGUGCCUACAAGUAGUCAGAGCACAUUAAAGUGUAAUGGCGUGCCUUUUGUAGAAUGAACCGGCGAGUUACGUUAAAUAGCGAGGUUAAGUGAGAAAAGACGGAGCCGCAGCGAAAGCGAGUCUGAAUAGGGCGAAAAGUUAUUUGAUGUAGACCCGAAACCAAGUGACCUACCCAUGACCAGGUUGAAGGUGCGGUAAAACGCACUGGAGGACCGAACCCACGUAAGUUAAAAAUUGCGGGGAUGAGUUGUGGGUAGCGGUGAAAUUCCAAACGAACUUGGAGAUAGCUGGUUCUCUCCGAAAUAGCUUUAGGGCUAGCCUCGUGGGAGAGGAUAAUGGAGGUAGAGCUCUGUUUGGACAAGGGGCCCGUCAGGGGUUACUAAGUCCAGAUAAACUGCGAAUUCCAGAUAUCCAUACACGGGAGUCAGACUGCGAGUGAUAAGAUCCGUAGUCGAAAGGGAAACAGCCCAGAUCACCAGUUAAGGUCCCCAAAUCUAUGCUAAGUGGAAAAGGAUGUGGAGUUGCGUAGACAACUAGGACGUUGGCUCAGAAGCAGCCAUCAUUCAAAGAGUGCGUAAUAGCUCACUAGUCGAGUGGCGCUGCGCCGAAAAUUUACCGGGGCUAAGCAUAGUACCGAAACUGUGGAUGCAUCGAAAGAUGCGUGGUAGGAGAGCGUUCUAGGUGCGGCGAAGGCUAAUCGAGAGGAUAGUUGGAGCGCUUAGAAGUGAGAAUGCCGGUAUGAGUAGCGAAAGAUAGGUGAGAAUCCUAUCCGCCGGAAGACUAAGGUUUCCUGGGGCAGGCUCGUCCGCCCAGGGUAAGUCGGGACCUAAGGCAAGGCCGAGAGGCGUAGUCGAUGGAUAACAGGUAGAAAUUCCUGUACUGCGUUCAAUCGUUAUGAGCGAAGGAGGGACGCAGGAGGCGAAGGACGCAUGGCGCUGGAAGCCAUGUGCAAGCGAUAAGUGUGGAAGUGAGUCAAAUGCUUGCUUUCGAAAAGCACAAGUCGUGAAGCGGAGCGAAGUUAAAGUAGCGAAGGUCUGGUAGUCACACUGCCAAGAAAAGCUUCUAGCCAGAGAGAACGUACCCGUACCGCAAACCGACACAGGUAGUCAAGUGGAGAACACUAAGGUGAGCGAGAGAACUCUCGUUAAGGAACUCGGCAAAAUGACCCCGUAACUUCGGGAGAAGGGGUGCUGAUCGCAAGAUCAGCCGCAGUGAAUAGGCCCAAACAACUGUUUAUCAAAAACACAGGUCUCUGCAAAGUCGUAAGACGACGUAUAGGGGCUGACACCUGCCCGGUGCUGGAAGGUUAAGAGGAGGACUUAGCUUAGGCGAAGGUCUGAAUUGAAGCCCCAGUAAACGGCGGCCGUAACUAUAACGGUCCUAAGGUAGCGAAAUUCCUUGUCGGGUAAGUUCCGACCUGCACGAAAGGUGUAAUGAUUUGGGCACUGUCUCAACGAGAGACUCGGUGAAAUUAUAAUACCCGUGAAGAUGCGGGUUACCCGCGACAGGACGGAAAGACCCCAUGGAGCUUCACUGUAGCUUGAUAUUGAGUAUCUGUUAAACAUGUACAGGAUAGGUAGGAGCCUGAGAAGAUAGGACGCUAGUUUUAUCGGAGGCAAUGUUGGGAUACUACCCUUGUUUGAUGGAUGCUCUAACCGCGGUGCCUAAGCGGCAUCAGGGACAGUGUCAGGUAGGCAGUUUGACUGGGGCGG